CCGUCAGCCAAUCGGGGGCGGAAAGAGAAGUGACCAGGGAAUCAACUUCUUUCCCUGUGAAGGCACGUAUUCCCCCCUCCUGGGACACCGCCUAGAAUGACCCCCUGCCCCUCCGGGCGUGCGCUCGCGUCGAGGAGUGAGCAUCUGGGGGCGGCGAUUUCAUGGUCGCCGUGGCCAGAUGCGCGCGGGCGGUGACCUAGAACAGGACCGAAAGACAUGAACCGCUACCGUUAGCCAGCCCGAAGAGGAGGGGGCGGGGGAACUGAGGCCCGAACGCAGCAGCCGCUGCUCAGGCGAUGGCGCCCCCCAGCUCUGCGCACCCACCCGGGCGCCCGGGUAGUUGCGAGCCCGCUGGCUCCGCCCAGGAGCAGGUCCAGCGUCCGCGCGACGCAGCGGCGGGUUUGCUGGCGGCGGAUUUGCAGGCGGCGCGUCCCGCCAAGCAGCGCAGGGACGCGGCCUGUCGCGCCCCACAGCCUGCAGGGCCCCGGGGGGCGGCCAGACCUGCGGGCGAGUGCCGAGAAUCCGCCUGGCACGGCGGCCUCAGGGUUCCCCAGCACCACCAACCGCACAAAAAGGGAGGAGCCGCGCACCAGGCAAGCCCAGGGCACCGUGGAUCGGGGGAUCGCGAGAGGCUGAAUGUACAAACCGACCAAGGCCAGACCACAUACAAAAAUAGAACACUGAGCGAGCCGCAGCAAACCAGCCCGGGGGAGCCAAACCUCAACUUCUGCAGCAUCAACCCCCAAAGGCCAGAACUCGACAUUUCCUGAGCGCCUGUUGGGUAAGGAACGGCCCGAGGACACGCCCCUAAAGCCCUGCCUCAUAGGGGCUCCACUCCAGCCGAGGAAGAGAGACAGCAAUCAACGCGCAAAUAUAUUAAUAGAAAUGGAGGACAGAGGGUGAUAUAGCAGAAGGGGAUCGAGCGGGGAGGGGAAUUCCUGUAACUCAGGUGACGGAAAGCCUCUCUGAGGGGUAGCUGUGGCCUUCGUCCUCUUUGUUUAGGACGACUCUGGAGAACUAGGGGGCUCUACCCCUCUGCGGGCUGUGCGGCAGCCCCUCUCCCCUCCCCUAGUGCUGGCGGCCAUCUCCCUGCCGCUGUCCAGGACAGCAGUGCUGUGCACGUGGCUUUGCAGCCCCCAUCAGCAGCGUGCUUUGUUCCUGAGGCUCCGGAAGGACAGACGGGAAGCCAGCAUCAACCCACAGGGACAAGGAGAGCAUGUGAGGCUGCAGCCUCCUCUAGAACCGGGUGCUUUUGGGGACCCCAAGGUUGGCUCAGGGCUGUGAGCAGGGGCAAUGCAAGACACAGCAAAAUACCAGCCCGGAUGUGGGUUUGAGGUCUCACUGUCUGUAAGAAAAGGAAUACGGCUCAGCUUUGGAAAGAGAGAGCUGCACCCAGCUCUCUUUGUCACCGUGUGACAUGGGGCCAAUUAUUUAACCUCUUUACUAAGCCUUACUUUCAGCACCUGGAAACUGAGAUGCAAAUAGUAGCCCUCUCACGGGGCUGUCGUGAGGUUUCCAUGAGAUAAUCUAUGUGAAGCCCAGAGCAUAGAGCCUGGCGCCAGAAAACCCCUAAUAACAGGGCCUGUGUUAACCUGGCAUCCAGCAAGCCCAGGGGCUUAAGGGGUGGGCUGUGUUUGUUUCCUACGAGGAAACCGAGGCUGGAGAGCUUAACACGGCCCCAUGAAGACCUGGAGCAGGGCACUGUGGGUCCUUUUCCAGCUCACUUCCCGACCUGUCCAGGGAUCUGUCCUGUUCUGGAUAGCAGCCCCCAAAGAAGGCUCUGGUUCCGCCUCUCCCACCUGCACUCGGCUUUCCAAGUAUUUGUCUAUGCGUGUAUAAAUAUGUAUUUUUUUCUCUUUUUACACAAAUCGUAGCCCCUCUCCAUUUCCACUACCAAUAAUUCUUGGGACUCAUUCCAUAUCCGUACAUACAGAGCUUCCUGAUUCUUCUUUAAGCCCGAGUGAUACCCCACUGUAUGGAUGUUUGCAGUUUAUUUCCCACAGAUUGUCUGGUGCCUCUCCCAGAAGCAUGCCGCCCACUCUGGAGAUCUCUGGAUCACACAUUGUUUCCUGUGAACUGCAGCUUAACUGUGAUGUGAAUUGGUGUGGCCUCUGGGGUUGGUUGUGAAAUGUUUGACUCGUUUCCCCUGAUCGAACACCAGGCAUCUCUGAGCUGUCACCGAAACCAGACCACACCUGCCAGGAAUACGGGAAGCGGGGUGGAGAUGGUGAGGUGCAGGAGGUGCCAGUCUGGGAUGCAGUAGCCCUGGGCCCCCAGCAAUCUGCGGCCCACCGGUAGUGAUAGGCGAUGAUGGUCCCCCCUGUGGUUCAGGACCAGUUUGCAAUCCACUCCACACGGUGAGAAAGCCCGCAGAGGAGCCUGCCUUAGGGACAGGUGGGCAAAGAAAGGGACCCACAGCCAGGCCCCAGGGUGUGCUGCCUGCAGACUUACAGAGAGGCCUUGAGGUCGUUAUCAUGCCAGCCACACCCACUGACAUGGUGCCACUGUCAAGCUUGGGAACCCUGUACCAAUGACUGGGGCAGGUGCCAAGACGUUCUCCACUAAAUGAUGAGAUGUCAGCAGCUCGCUGGGGAAGAGGAUGGACUGAAACCUCCCCAGGCCCCCCACUCUGUCCAAGGAUCAGCAAGGGCCACGGGGCCCCUGAGCAGAGUUGUGGCAUCACGGGAAGCCACAGGCAAGGACGUGCUCGGAGCAGGUGUACCAGUUUCCUCUUGCUGCUGUGACAGUGACCACCAACGUGGUGGCUUAAAACCACGCCAUGGGCUUCCCUGGCGGCGCAGUGGUUGGGAGUACGCCCGCCGAUGCGGGGGACGCGGGUUCGUGCCCCGGUCCGGGAAGAUCCCACGUGCCGUGGAGCGGCUGGGCCCGUGAGCCAUGGCCGCUGAGCCUGCGCGUCCGGAGCCUGUGCUCCGCGGCGGGAGAGGCCACAGCAGUGAGAAGCCCGCGUACCGCAAAAAAAAAACACGAAAAAACAAAAAACCCACACCAUUUCUUCUCUGACAGUAUGGAGUCCAGAGGUCCACAGUCAGAGUCUCAAUGGUCUGAAAUCAAGGUGACGGCAGGGACUGCCUCCCUCCAGAGGCUCGUGGGGAGGAUCUGGCUGCUCGCCUUUUCCAGUCUCCAGAGCUGCAUUCCUUGCGAUCGGGAGCGCAACCACCUGCUUCAGUGCUCUCAUCGUCACCUCCUUUCAUCAAAUCUCCCUCUGCCUCUCUUACAAGGACACUUGUGAUCGUAUCUAGGACCCACCCGGAUAAUCCAGGAUAAUAUUCCUUAAUCUCAAAAACCUUAAUUCCAUUGCAUCUGCAAAGUGUCUUUUGCCAUAUAAGGUAACAUUUGCAGGUUCCAGAGGUUAGGACCUGGAUAUCUUUGGGGGGCAUUAUUCUGCCCACCACAGAGGGCAACGCCAAGCAGACGGGAGGCUUCGAAGACCAGAGGGUGUUGGGGAUGUCCAAGCUCACUUCUCACAGAGGCUGUGAGGCACAGGGGCUGGGACUUCCAGUGACCGCCCCCCACCCAGGUCUCUGCAGUAGCCCAACGGCUGCUUUGCAGAGUAUCUCCAAGUUGGGGAUGGGGAGAGGAAGGAGGGAGCCUGGAUGCAGGACUCACAUCACCCACCCAUGGGCACCACCUGCCAGACCUAUUGCCGCAUUGGUCCAGGAUGAUGGCUGGACAGGUGGCUGCCGAGUCAUCCUCCCUCCAGCCUCCUUCUGGUCCCAAUCCAAGUAUUGUUCUGACGUUUUCGAGGACAGCUUUUGGUCAGAGAAAAGGCUUUUCAGAAAUACUUUGUUUUUUAAGCCCUAAUUCUUCUCUGAGCUUUUAAGUGCAAUGUACAAAUCUUAUUCUAUGAAUAUAUCCAGCCAAUUUUAACAAUCAUUUUUAAGGCGAACUUUGAUUAAUGUUUGUAGCAUUUACCUACUUAGUUAAUUAAACUCCUUUAAACGUUUUACGCUGCAAUCGAAGUGUAUUAUAUUCCAUUUUCUAAGUUUUUCAAUUAUCUGACUAAUAAAUCUUCCCAAGUCCUUAAGUGAUCCUUAUCAAUCAGAUCCAUUAAACUUAUAAUUAUGGUGAUUUUUAAAUAUUCAAAAACUGUUCACCAAAGUAGUAAGACUUCAACUUACAAGCACAGGUCGAAACCAAUGACUCAAGAGCACAUUUAAAAUUAGAAUCACAAGUCUGAUGUUAACACUCAAAUCUGCCCAAUUUGCUUAGACUUUCUAAGUUCUGAAAAUGCCAAAGAUACAAAGUAGAUUUCUGAGCUUAACACAAAAAGAUAAAUGCUAUAGUUUUGAUUUACUUCAUCAUCACUAUACUCAAUUCUAACUUUCCCUGGGUUAAAAGUGUUCCCCAAACCGAUUUGGGGUUUUCUUCUCAAGCACAUCCUUCUCAGCUGGAUGUGGGUUCUCAACCUGCAGAUGUGGGGUGAGUCAAUUCUUUUUUUAAAAAAUAAAUUUAUUUAUUUUUGGC
Molecule: long non-coding RNA, 4485 nt
Organism: Globicephala melas (long-finned pilot whale)
Lineage: Eukaryota; Metazoa; Chordata; Mammalia; Artiodactyla; Delphinidae
Source: RefSeq, a predicted model, not a curated record